Molecule: ribosomal RNA, 496 nt
Filed under: uncultured bacterium
Lineage: Bacteria
Description: partial 16S ribosomal RNA
Rfam family: Bacterial small subunit ribosomal RNA
Source: RNAcentral
GAUGAACGCUGGCGGCGUGCCUAAUACAUGCAAGUCGAGCGAACAGACGAGGAGCUUGCUCCUCUGACGUUAGCGGCGGACGGGUGAGUAACACGUGGAUAACCUACCUAUAAGACUGGGAUAACUUCGGGAAACCGGAGCUAAUACCGGAUAAUAUAUUGAACCGCAUGGUUCAAUAGUGAAAGACGGUUUUGCUGUCACUUAUAGAUGGAUCCGCGCCGCAUUAGCUAGUUGGUAAGGUAACGGCUACCAAGGCAACGAUGCGUAGCCCACCUGAGAGGGUGAUCGGCCACACUGGAACUGAGACACGGUCCAGACUCCUACGGGAGGCAGCAGUAGGGAAUCUUCCGCAAUGGGCGAAAGCCUGACGGAGCAACGCCGCGUGAGUGAUGAAGGUCUUCGGAUCGUAAAACUCUGUUAUUAGGGAAGAACAAAUGUGUAAGUAACUAUGCACGUCUUGACGGUACCUAAUCAGAAAGCCACGGCUAACUACGUG